UACGUAGGGGGCAAGCGUUGUCCGGAUUUAUUGGGCGUAAAGAGCGUGUAGGCGGCUUUACAGGUCCGUUGUGAAAACUCGAGGCUCAACCUCGAGACGCCGGUGGAAACCGUAAAGCUAGAGUCCGGAAGAGGAGAGUGGAAUUCCUGGUGUAGCGGUGAAAUGCGUAGAUAUCUGGAGGAAUACCGGUGGCGAAGGCGGCAUCCUGGACCGACAUUGACGCUGAGGAGCGAAAGCUAGGGGAGCAAACGGG
This 253-nucleotide ribosomal RNA is filed under the name uncultured bacterium. RNAcentral describes it as "partial 16S ribosomal RNA". It matches the Rfam family "Bacterial small subunit ribosomal RNA", at positions 524 to 776 of the family's 1533-position model. The record is from RNAcentral.